UACGGAGGAUCAGAGCGUUAUCCGGAUUUAUUGGGUUUAAAGGGUGCGCAGGCGGGAGAUUAAGUCGGCGGUGAAAUUUUGCAGCUCAACUGUAAAAGUGCCUUCGAAACUGGUUUCCUUGAGUGUGGAUGAAGUAGGCGGAAUUUGUGGUGUAGCGGUGAAAUGCAUAGAUAUCACGAGGAACUCCGAUUGCGCAGGCAGCUUACUAAACCAUAACUGACGCUCAGGCACGAAGGCGUGGGGAUCAAACAGGAUUAGAUACCCCGGUAGU
This 271-nucleotide ribosomal RNA is filed under the name uncultured prokaryote. Its description in RNAcentral is "partial 16S ribosomal RNA". It matches the Rfam family "Bacterial small subunit ribosomal RNA", at positions 524 to 794 of the family's 1533-position model. The record is from RNAcentral.